RNAcentral lists this transfer RNA (74 nucleotides) under Neotrygon kuhlii (spotted stingray). Its description in RNAcentral is "tRNA-Lys". It matches the Rfam family "tRNA". Rfam says of the family: Transfer RNA (tRNA) molecules are approximately 80 nucleotides in length. Lineage: Eukaryota; Metazoa; Chordata; Chondrichthyes; Myliobatiformes; Dasyatidae. The record is from RNAcentral.
CAUUAAGAAGCUAAACUGGGUCAAGCAUUAGCCUUUUAAGCUAAGAAUUGGUGACUCCCAACCACCCUUAAUGA